UCCGCGUUAUUCGCGGCAGUCUCUCUAGAGGGCCCAGCUUGACCUGAUGGCAACUAGAAACGAGGGUUGCGCUCGUUGCGGGACUUAACCCAACAUCUCACGACACGAGCUGACGACAGCCAUGCAGCACCUGUGUGGACCGCUCCCUUGCGGGAGAAGGACGAUCUCUCGUCCGGUCGGUCCCAUGUCAAGCCUUGGUAAGGUUCUUCGCGUUGCGUCGAAUUAAACCACAUGCUCCACCGCUUGUGCGGGCCCCCGUCAAUUCCUUUGAGUUUCAGUCUUGCGACCGUACUCCCCAGGCGGAAUACUUAACGCGUUAGCUGCGGCUCUGGACCGUUGACGGGCCCAAAACCUAGUAUUCAUCGUUUAUGGCAUGGACUAC
This 382-nucleotide unclassified non-coding RNA is filed under the name uncultured Fibrobacteraceae bacterium. RNAcentral's name for it is "contains 16S-23S intergenic spacer region". Lineage: Bacteria; Pseudomonadati; Fibrobacterota; Fibrobacteria; Fibrobacterales; Fibrobacteraceae. The record is from RNAcentral.